GACGAACGCUGGCGGCGUGCCUAAUACAUGCAAGUUGAGCGAUGAAGAUUGGUGCUUGCACCAAUUUGAAGAGCAGCGAACGGGUGAGUAACGCGUGGGGAAUCUGCCUUUGAGCGGGGGACAACAUUUGGAAACGAAUGCUAAUACCGCAUAAUAACUUUAAACAUAAGUUUUAAGUUUGAAAGAUGCAAUUGCAUCACUCAAAGAUGAUCCCGCGUUGUAUUAGCUAGUUGGUGAGGUAAAGGCUCACCAAGGCGAUGAUACAUAGCCGACCUGAGAGGGUGAUCGGCCACAUUGGGACUGAGACACGGCCCAAACUCCUACGGGAGGCAGCAGUAGGGAAUCUUCGGCAAUGGACGAAAGUCUGACCGAGCAACGCCGCGUGAGUGAAGAAGGUUCUCGGAUCGUAAAACUCUGUUGGUAGAGAAGAACGUUGGUGAGAGUGGAAAGCUCAUCAAGUGACGGUAACUACCCAGAAAGGGACGGCUAACUACGUG
This 497-nucleotide ribosomal RNA is filed under the name uncultured bacterium. Its description in RNAcentral is "partial 16S ribosomal RNA". It matches the Rfam family "Bacterial small subunit ribosomal RNA", at positions 28 to 507 of the family's 1533-position model. The record is from RNAcentral.